GUAAAUAAUAGUUCAUCAUUGAUAGAUCUUUUCUAUUUCAGAGACUGAAAAUCAUUGAUUAAAACACAAGAAUUAAGCUCCAACCCCAGUUAAACAGAUCUGAGCAGCUGAUCAAGGAUCAGCAGAAACUCUGCAGAACGGUGCUCCUCCAGCCCAGGACUGGACACCAGUGUUAUGUUGGAGAAAAAACAGUGAGGCUAAAGCAUUCAAAGUGGAAACAUCUGCCGUGGCUCAUUAAUCCAGAAUUGGGAUGGAGGAAGGAGCAGAAGAAGCAGAAGAUCAGAGAUCAGGCAGAGAUCUACUGGUGCCCCUGUGGGAAACCAUUUACCUAAUGUGUUAGUUAAACCAAAGAUUUUCAUCACUCACCUUUACGUUGUUCCAAGCCAGACUUUUGUUCAUCUUUGAAACAUAAAUGCAGAACUUUUUAAUGAAAUCUGAGAAUUUUUUUAAAUCUAAAAUAACGCAUUCACACAAGCACCAUGAUGCAUCAGUGUUGCAUUGGCGUGAGAGCUGGCGCUUUUGGUGCUUUUGAGAAAAUCCAUUGGGGAUUCCUAAUUUCUGAAUAGAUUUUUUUUGCUGUUGUUGUUGUUUUUUGCGUACACAAGGCAUCUGUUAAAAAAUAUCUUCAUUUGUGUUCUGCACAAAAGGGUGUUAUGGGUUUGGGGUAACAUGAGGGUAAGAAAUUAAUGACAGAAUUUAAAUUUUUGGUUGUUCUAAUGUGGUUAUAAUUGUUCAUAGUUUAUUGUCUUGAAAAAUUAUAUUUAUACAGAAAGAUGGAUUAAUUUGAUAAGUUUAUAGUAAAGACUUUUAAAUUGAUUUAAAAAAAUCAAAAUAAAUUCUACUCUUUUGCAAGUUCUAUUAAAAAAAUUACUGAUGUACUGGUUUCCACAAGAUAUUGGGCAGCACAACUGUUUUAAACAUUGAUAAUAAUCAGAAAUGUUUCUUGAGCAGCAAAUCAUAUAUUAUAAUGAUUUCUGAAGAUCAUGUAACACUGAAGACUGGAGUAAUUGUGUUAAAAAUUCAGUUUACAGUCAUAAAUUACAUUUUACACUGCAUCCACAACAAUUAUUACUGUUUUUACGGUCUGUUUAAUCAAAGGAGGCUUAAGAUGUGAUCAAGAAUUUACAUGAAAGAUGUAAUGUGUCAAUAAAUGUGUCAAUAUACUGUGAAUUGUCUCAUUUUCACUAAUUAGGAAUAUGAAAAAUAAUGCACGGUUGUUA
Molecule: long non-coding RNA, 1220 nt
Organism: Carassius gibelio (silver crucian carp)
Lineage: Eukaryota; Metazoa; Chordata; Actinopteri; Cypriniformes; Cyprinidae
Exons: 3
Source: RefSeq, a predicted model, not a curated record